UUAAGCGACUAAGCGUACACGGUGGAUGCCCUGGCAGUCAGAGGCGAUGAAGGACGUGCUAAUCUGCGAUAAGCGUCGGUGAGGUGAUAUGAACCGUUAUAACCGGCGAUUUCCGAAUGGGGAAACCCAGUGUGUUUCGACACACUAUCAUUAACUGAAUCCAUAGGUUAAUGAGGCGAACCGGGGGAACUGAAACAUCUAAGUACCCCGAGGAAAAGAAAUCAACCGAGAUUCCCCCAGUAGCGGCGAGCGAACGGGGAGGAGCCCAGAGCCUGAAUCAGUGUGUGUGUUAGUGGAAGCGUCUGGAAAGGCGCGCGAUACAGGGUGACAGCCCCGUACACAAAAAUGCACAUAUUGUGAGCUCGAUGAGUAGGGCGGGACACGUGGUAUCCUGUCUGAAUAUGGGGGGACCAUCCUCCAAGGCUAAAUACUCCUGACUGACCGAUAGUGAACCAGUACCGUGGGAAAGGCGAAAAGAACCCCGGCGAGGGGAGUGAAAAAGAACCUGAAACCGUGUACGUACAAGCAGUGGGAGCCUCUUAAUGGGGUGACUGCGUACCUUUUGUAUAAUGGGUCAGCGACUUAUAUUCUGUAGCAAGGUUAACCGAAUAGGGGAGCCGAAGGGAAACCGAGUCUUAACUGGGCGUUAAGUUGCAGGGUAUAGACCCGAAACCCGGUGAUCUAGCCAUGGGCAGGUUGAAGGUUGGGUAACACUAACUGGAGGACCGAACCGACUAAUGUUGAAAAAUUAGCGGAUGACUUGUGGCUGGGGGUGAAAGGCCAAUCAAACCGGGAGAUAGCUGGUUCUCCCCGAAAGCUAUUUAGGUAGCGCCUCGUGAAUUCAUCUCCGGGGGUAGAGCACUGUUUCGGCAAGGGGGUCAUCCCGACUUACCAACCCGAUGCAAACUGCGAAUACCGGAGAAUGUUAUCACGGGAGACACACGGCGGGUGCUAACGUCCGUCGUGAAGAGGGAAACAACCCAGACCGCCAGCUAAGGUCCCAAAGUCAUGGUUAAGUGGGAAACGAUGUGGGAAGGCCCAGACAGCCAGGAUGUUGGCUUAGAAGCAGCCAUCAUUUAAAGAAAGCGUAAUAGCUCACUGGUCGAGUCGGCCUGCGCGGAAGAUGUAACGGGGCUAAACCAUGCACCGAAGCUGCGGCAGCGACACUAUGUGUUGUUGGGUAGGGGAGCGUUCUGUAAGCCUGUGAAGGUGGCCUGUGAGGGUUGCUGGAGGUAUCAGAAGUGCGAAUGCUGACAUAAGUAACGAUAAAGCGGGUGAAAAGCCCGCUCGCCGGAAGACCAAGGGUUCCUGUCCAACGUUAAUCGGGGCAGGGUGAGUCGACCCCUAAGGCGAGGCCGAAAGGCGUAGUCGAUGGGAAACAGGUUAAUAUUCCUGUACUUGGUGUUACUGCGAAGGGGGGACGGAGAAGGCUAUGUUGGCCGGGCGACGGUUGUCCCGGUUUAAGCGUGUAGGCUGGUUUUCCAGGCAAAUCCGGAAAAUCAAGGCUGAGGCGUGAUGACGAGGCACUACGGUGCUGAAGCGACAAAUGCCCUGCUUCCGUGAAAGCCUCUAAGCAUCAGGUAACAUCAAAUCGUACCCCAAACCGACACAGGUGGUCAGGUAGAGAAUACCAAGGCGCUUGAGAGAACUCGGGUGAAGGAACUAGGCAAAAUGGUGCCGUAACUUCGGGAGAAGGCACGCUGAUAUGUAGGUGAAGCGACUUGCUCGUGGAGCUGAAAUCAGUCGAAGAUACCAGCUGGCUGCAACUGUUUAUUAAAAACACAGCACUGUGCAAACACGAAAGUGGACGUAUACGGUGUGACGCCUGCCCGGUGCCGGAAGGUUAAUUGAUGGGGUUAGCGGUAACGCGAAGCUCUUGAUCGAAGCCCGGUAAACGGCGGCCGUAACUAUAACGGUCCUAAGGUAGCGAAAUUCCUUGUCGGGUAAGUUCCGACCUGCACGAAUGGCGUAAUGAUGGCCAGGCUGUCUCCACCCGAGACUCAGUGAAAUUGAACUCGCUGUGAAGAUGCAGUGUACCCGCGGCAAGACGGAAAGACCCCGUGAACCUUUACUAUAGCUUGACACUGAACAUUGAGCCUUGAUGUGUAGGAUAGGUGGGAGGCUUUGAAGUGUGGACGCCAGUCUGCAUGGAGCCGACCUUGAAAUACCACCCUUUAAUGUUUGAUGUUCUAACGUGGGCCCCUUACCGGGGUUGCGGACAGUGUCUGGUGGGUAGUUUGACUGGGGCGGUCCUCCUAAAGAGUAACGGAGGAGCACGAAGGUUGGCUAAUCUGGUCGGACAUCAGGAGGUUAGUGCAAUGGCAUAAGCCAGCUUGACUGCGAGCGUGACGGCGCGAGCAGGUGCGAAAGCAGGUCAUAGUGAUCCGGUGGUUCUGAAUGGAAGGGCCAUCGCUCAACGGAUAAAAGGUACUCCGGGGAUAACAGGCUGAUACCGCCCAAGAGUUCAUAUCGACGGCGGUGUUUGGCACCUCGAUGUCGGCUCAUCACAUCCGGGCUGAAGUAGGUCCCAAGGGUAUGGCUGUUCGCCAUUUAAAGUGGUACGCGAGCUGGGUUUAGAACGUCGUGAGACAGUUCGGUCCCUAUCUGCCGUGGGCGCUGGAGAACUGAGGGGGGCUGCUCCUAGUACGAGAGGACCGGAGUGGACGCAUCACUGGUGUUCGGGUUGUCAUGCCAAUGGCACUGCCCGGUAGCUAAAUGCGGAAGAGAUAAGUGCUGAAAGCAUCUAAGCACGAAACUUGCCCCGAGAUGAGUUCUCCCUGACUCCUUGAGAGUCCUGAAGGAACGUUGAAGACGACGACGUUGAUAGGCCGGGUGUGUAAGCGCAGCGAUGCGUUGAGCUAACCGGUACUAAUGAACCGUGAGGCUUAACCU
Molecule: ribosomal RNA, 2892 nt
Filed under: Escherichia coli
Lineage: Bacteria; Pseudomonadati; Pseudomonadota; Gammaproteobacteria; Enterobacterales; Enterobacteriaceae
Description: 23S ribosomal RNA
Rfam family: Bacterial large subunit ribosomal RNA
Source: RNAcentral